GAUGAACGCUGGCGGCGUGCCUAAUACAUGCAUGUCGAGCGAACGGACGAGAAGCUUGCUUCUCUGAUGUUAGCGGCGGACGGGUGAGUAACACGUGGAUAACCUACCUAUAAGACUGGGAUAACUUCGGGAAACCGGAGCUAAUACCGGAUAAUAUUUUGAACCGCAUGGUUCAAAAGUGAAAGACGGUCUUGCUGUCACUUAUAGAUGGAUCCGCGCUGCAUUAGCUAGUUGGUAAGGUAACGGCUUACCAAGGCAACGAUGCAUAGCCGACCUGAGAGGGUGAUCGGCCACACUGGAACUGAGACACGGUCCAGACUCCUACGGGAGGCAGCAGUAGGGAAUCUUCCGCAAAGGGCGAAAGCCUGACGGAGCAACGCCGCGUGAGUGAUGAAGGUCUUCGGAUCGUAAAACUCUGUUAUUAGGGAAGAACAUAUGUGUAAGUAACUGUGCACAUCUUGACGGUACCUAAUCAGAAAGCCACGGCUAACUACGUG
Molecule: ribosomal RNA, 497 nt
Filed under: uncultured bacterium
Lineage: Bacteria
Description: partial 16S ribosomal RNA
Rfam family: Bacterial small subunit ribosomal RNA
Source: RNAcentral